AUGCGCUUACUGCCGGGAUACACCCUGUGCUCGCUUUGAAAUUUUCUAUUAAUAAGAUUUUAUAUGAUAUCAGUGAACACAGCUUGGUGGUAUCUCAGUAGUAGAAGGCAA
This 111-nucleotide microRNA precursor is filed under the name Glossina austeni. Its description in RNAcentral is "microRNA mir-317". It matches the Rfam family "mir-317 microRNA precursor family". The record is from RNAcentral. Lineage: Eukaryota; Metazoa; Arthropoda; Insecta; Diptera; Glossinidae.